CAGAUUGAUGACAAAGUGCUCGCCGCGAUGAAACCAGCCAGAUCGUCAAGACACCGUGAAUACCGCCUUGUAGGCUCGUUCCGCACCAUCCCUGGCGCGGAGACUUG
Non-coding RNA from Yersinia ruckeri, 107 nucleotides. Lineage: Bacteria; Pseudomonadati; Pseudomonadota; Gammaproteobacteria; Enterobacterales; Yersiniaceae. The record is from Rfam.